RNAcentral lists this ribosomal RNA (288 nucleotides) under Bacillus sp. IS2705. RNAcentral describes it as "partial 16S ribosomal RNA". It matches the Rfam family "Bacterial small subunit ribosomal RNA", at positions 162 to 442 of the family's 1533-position model. The record is from RNAcentral. Lineage: Bacteria; Bacillati; Bacillota; Bacilli; Caryophanales; Bacillaceae.
GCUAAUACCGGGUAACACGUAGCAUCGCAUGAUGCAACGUUGAAAGUUGGCCUUUGGCUAACACUGUAGGAUGGGCCCGCGGCGCAUUAGCUAGUUGGUAAGGUAACGGCUUACCAAGGCCACGAUGCGUAGCCGACCUGAGAGGGUGAUCGGCCACACUGGGACUGAGACACGGCCCAGACUCCUACGGGAGGCAGCAGUAGGGAAUCUUCCGCAAUGGACGAAAGUCUGACGGAGCAACGCCGCGUGAGUGACGAAGGCCUUCGGGUCGUAAAGCUCUGUUGUUAG